Molecule: long non-coding RNA, 1917 nt
Filed under: Anser cygnoides (Swan goose)
Lineage: Eukaryota; Metazoa; Chordata; Aves; Anseriformes; Anatidae
Description: lncRNA (ENSACDG00005014844.1)
Source: RNAcentral
GGGGGGAGCAGGAGGAUUUGGUUUGGCUGAGAGCAGGGGAAUGCUGCGUGCGUGCGGGUAUUUGAGCGGUGUCCCGCCGCCUUCUCCAGGGACGGUCACUUUGGCCACCUGCGGUGUGCAGCCACAGGUGCUACCCAGGGCUAGCAGCAGCCUGUGGAUUUAGAAUGAUGAUCAUUAAGGAAAUGCUAAUUAUGCUGACGGUGGCCUCUGUUCCUGGGCUUCAGCGGAUUCCCGCAGCGCUGCCCUGCUCCCGCGCGGGGCCGCGUCUCCCUCCCGGCCUCCGCGGGGCUGAGCCCACGCAGCGCUUUCUCUGCGAGCCCCGUUCGGGCCCUUCAAGGAAGAGGGAGCCUCUUGUACCCUGACCCUACAGGCAGGGCUUCUCGGCACGAGCAGGACGCUUGGCUUGCCGCCGCCAGCUCCUCUCCGAGCCCUCAGCUCGCUCCUCUCCUUCCCCGGCUUCUGCGCUCGCCUAGCGGCUCCCGCUCGCAGCGGGGCUGGUUGGGGGCUCCGUCCUGCGGGGUCCCGGGCGAUGCUGCGGGGAGACAGCGGGCGGCCGGGGCUGGGCCCAGCGGUGUCUCCCCCACCCCCCCGCCUUAUGGGGCCGGGCCCGUCCCCUCCCACCGCGGCCCCGCGCGUGGAGCCAAGUUCAAACCGCGAGCCCCAGCGCGGCGGCGGAGCGGGACGCAGCGGGGGGCCGGGCUGGGGGCCCCCAGUGCCUGCGCGGCUCCAUGAUUCUCCCCAGGGCCCUUUCCUGCGCUGUGCUGCUGCUCCUGCUCGUCGCCGUGCUGGGCCGGGGCAAGAGGUGCAGCAUCGCCAAAAUCCUGCGGCAGUACCGCGCCGUCAUCUUCCACGAGAUCCAGAACCUGAAAAACCUGAGCGGCUCAGCGGAGAGGAGCAGCCGGGCAGGGCUGGCUUGCCGUUCGGACAAGGACCAGAAGAUCCUGCUGGCCAUCUACAACAUCAGCAUGUCCCUGCGGGACGUGGCGGGCGGCACCCUGCGUGGCCCCGAGGAGGUGGCGGUGUGGAAGGUGGCCAGGAACACCGAGUUCGUGCUCAGGGAGAACUGCAGGAAAAUCGGCAAGAGCCCACCCCGUGCCCCGGCACAGCCCCGCCGCAGGAGGAAGCAGCUGAAGGAGAUCGCGAGGAAGGCGCAGCGGCUGGCGACGUGCUGGGAGAAGCUCUACGCCCUGCACGUGCCCCAGCGGGGCUCCUAGGCUGCCUCGGGGACCUCCCCUCACCUCGUCCCCGCGGCCAGCGGGACCGCAGAGGCGCGCGCUCUGGUUUCGCGGCUGACGGCGCCUUGUUUCGGGACCUGGGGGAAAUUCAACCCCGAAGCCGGCUGAGGGGGUACCAGGGGGUGCCCGAAUUUAAUUCGUCCUCUUGUUCCAAGCGGUGCCCCAGGGACUGGCCCCGCUGCACGGGGUGGGUGCUGUAGGGUGGCUGCAGCAGCCAGCUGGGCAACCCCAGGCUGGGGGGAAGAAGAAGGGGAAGCACAGAAAAAAAGAGGAGAGAGAAACGUGGAUUUCUGUGAUGCUCCUGACCCUGCAUCACCUGCUGCUUUUUUGGGGGACAAUGGUUGCUUUUCUGGACCCAAAGAGGACAAACCGGGCCACGGGGCUGAGGCUUCUGCUGGCACUGGACUUCUACGCACCCGCAGGUGGCUGAGGGUGCCCAGGGUGCCUGCAGGGUGCCAGCGUGAGCCGCUGCCCUGGCACGAUGCAGACAAACACUGAACCCCCCCCCCCCCGGCAUGGUCAGAGCCUCGGUGCAGCUCUGGCUGCUUGGAGCCAGAGGUUUGGCCUCCGAGCUGAGCCCCAGGGCUGGGGGGAACCCAGCACCACCGGCGUUGAGCCCAGCCCCAAGGGCCCCGCUUCCAAACCGUGGGAAGCCAGAAAUAAAUCUUCUCCUUCCCUCGCA